RNAcentral lists this long non-coding RNA (351 nucleotides) under Ananas comosus (pineapple). Its description in RNAcentral is "long non-coding RNA (ACOM_LNC022117)". The record is from RNAcentral. Lineage: Eukaryota; Viridiplantae; Streptophyta; Magnoliopsida; Poales; Bromeliaceae.
GAAAACUUCAAAAACCCCCCUGUGGUUUCGUGCAUUCUCACUUUGCUACCCUGUGGUUUAAAACGUAUCAAUUUGCCCCCCUGUGGUUUCGUUUUUAUCUUUUUGUUAUCAAUUUUAUUAUUAUUAUUUUUUUAAAUCAGUGACAAAGUUAAAAUUAAAGGAUACUAAAAUGACUAUUCGAUAAAUAUAGAUGGUUAUCUGAAGUUUUUUGUAUAUAAUUUAACGAAAUAUUAACGAAAAAGCUUCCGAAAAGAUAAAAAUGAAACCACAGGGGGGGUAAAUUGAUACGUUUUAAACCACAGGGUAGCAAAAUGAGAAUGCACGAAACCACAGGGGGGUUUUUGAAGUUUU